This is a long non-coding RNA of Diachasmimorpha longicaudata, 2029 nucleotides long. RefSeq lists it as uncharacterized. The record is from RefSeq and is a predicted model, not a curated record. Lineage: Eukaryota; Metazoa; Arthropoda; Insecta; Hymenoptera; Braconidae. The transcript has 4 exons.
ACUCUUGGCGAAGUGAGUGAGGAGCUUAUGAAACGCGUAAUUGAUGACAGGGGGUCUAAUUUAUGCACAAGUACUCGUACAAAGUACUUCAAAUAAAGCAGUUCUUCGUGAACAUUAAAAGUGAUGCACCAGUUGACUCGAAAUUUUGAGUGGAUGAAAUUUGCCAGAGGGUGAUUUUUAAUAGCUGCAUGAGUGAUCUUCAGACUGUUAAAUAUAGAGUUUGGAGGUGCAAUAUGGUUUAAAUGCGGUUUGGGAAGCCAAUGGAAAUAACAUAACGAUUUACUGAUAAAAGGAAAUGGAGAAAAUCAACACAAGCGAAGACGUAACCACUGGGUGUUUCCCCCCUGGGGAUCUUUUCGGGAACUAUUUCCUCGAGGAUCGAAGGGAAACAGUCGGGUGGAACAUGCGCUUCCUUAUCGACGACAACUCAGGAACGCCGGUAGCUGGAAGUAGCUUCACAUGGAAAAUGGAUCGUCAGAUGCAGUGAAAUUAGAUAAGUACACAUUUGCAUUAUUAAUAAAAUUUGAUUAUUAUUUUCGUGCGAAUGCCUCUUUCACUGGGUAAUUCAGGACUAUUUGCAGUGAAAUAAAGUGCGCCUGUGAUUUUUUAAAACUCACGGAACAACUCAUCGAUAACAGAUUCGUCUUUAUCACGGAAGAACACGGGUAUUAAAAAAAAUAUAUGAAAAUAUCGUAAAAAUAAUAAAGCAACUGUUCAAUGGCUGUUGGUAAGAAAAUAGCCAUAAAAAAAUCUAUGAAGAUUGGGCUUUAAGUUGGUGGGGCACAUCGAGAGUGUUGCGUGGAGACGAAUAAACGAUUGGCAGUCAGCCUCAUGCUUGUUGCCGUAUAUUUCUGUGCUAUCUAAGCAAUAUAGUCGUUGGUUUAUGUGGAGAGCGGGCAGUUAAACGUUACGAAGACUUUUAUAGGCCUGCGUGAAUCCGCGCUCACUCAACGACGGUUACGACGCGAUCUCGUCGGGACUUAUUUUAUUUUUCAUUUUUUAUUUUAUAUCUCCCUCGUUUUUCUUCCUCUCAAAUCCUUCACAGGUAAAUACAUUGCUCAGGUGUCGGCUGACGGGGAAGGGGAUGAACAUAAUGUAGGUACUGCGCGUGGUACGAUCAUGCGAUAGAUUGAAAAUCAUUGCGAUUUAAAUGGAUUUUUAUCAUCUAUUGACGCGGCAAAAACACACUUUUAAUGCCCAACUUUUUUGCACUCGCUAAUUUUACUUUUUGCAAUUUAUAUUUUAAAAUGAUUAAAUCGUCGUACAGUGCUUAAAUCACAAAUUAAAACUUACCUGGACUUUAUUCGUAUCCGGUUUUUCGAAUAAAUUUGUGAAAACGGUGAUUAUGGGGAUAUAGAGCCGCAUUUUAUAUAUUAGAUCGUACACUGCGGUUCAGUGAUUAACUGCAUUGGUAUUGGAAAUCAAUGUGUCGUUUUAUGGCUCUUCAAAGUUAUGUGUUCCACUGAAUUUUUCAGAAUUAGAAUUAAUUCAAAACUAAAUUUCAUGCAGAUUCUUAGUCGCAGAAAAUAAAGAAAAAUACUGCGAUGAGCACGUCACAGUUUUUUUCCUUAUCAAACAUUUGAGUAUCCUUAUUACUGUCAUUGAAUAAAAAAUCAAUACCCAGUAUUCAUUCGUAGCAGGUUUUGUGAAUAAACUUGUGAUAAUGAUAUUCAUGUUCAGAUAGAAACGAUUUUUUUAUUACAUCGCAUAUUAUAGUUCAACAAUUAUCAUGACUAAUGCAUUAAAUACAUUGAAAUCCACAAUAAACGUUUUCUUUUUUUUUAUUCUUUUUUUUUUCAAGCUUUAUGCUCCUACAGCAUUUGAGGAUAAUGGGGUGACAUUCUGCUUUAUAUUUUUAUUAUUAAAGUUUCACUGGACUUUUUUUUGACAGUCUGUUCCGCAUCGACUUACGCCUACUGCGCUUACCAGAUGACAAGGUGAGUGCGGCCAAUUGGACCUUCAACAAUACCACUCAAUCGUCCGCAGAAGUAUUUAUCAAUAAAUAACUAUAAGAGUUUGAAUGAAAAAA